GAUUCGUCACACUAUCAUUAACUGAAUCCAUAGGUUAAUGAGGCGAACCGGGGGAACUGAAACAUCUAAGUACCCCGAGGAAAAGAAAUCAACCGAGAUUCCCCCAGUAGCGGCGAGCGAACGGGGAGGAGCCCAGAGCCUGAAUCAGCAUGUGUGUUAGUGGAAGCGUCUGGAAAGGCGCGCGAUACAGGGUGACAGCCCCGUACACAAAAGCGCAUGUGCUGUGAGCUCGAUGAGUAGGGCGGGACACGUGGUAUCCUGUCUGAAUAUGGGGGGACCAUCCUCCAAGGCUAAAUACUCCUGACUGACCGAUAGUGAACCAGUACCGUGAGGGAAAGGCGAAAAGAACCCCGGCGAGGGGAGUGAAAAAGAACCUGAAACCGUGUACGUACAAGCAGUGGGAGCACAGGUUUACCUG
This 418-nucleotide ribosomal RNA is filed under the name Salmonella enterica. Its description in RNAcentral is "partial 23S ribosomal RNA". It matches the Rfam family "Bacterial large subunit ribosomal RNA", at positions 137 to 591 of the family's 2925-position model. The record is from RNAcentral. RNAcentral also lists the same sequence under 4 other names. Lineage: Bacteria; Pseudomonadati; Pseudomonadota; Gammaproteobacteria; Enterobacterales; Enterobacteriaceae.